AGUUACUCGCCGGGGGCAUAUCCUGUCUUGAAAACAGAAUUUAAGUGUUCGAGUCACUUAGUAACUU
Molecule: transfer RNA, 67 nt
Filed under: Pseudorimula sp. RSIO35641
Lineage: Eukaryota; Metazoa; Mollusca; Gastropoda; Lepetellida; Lepetodrilidae
Description: tRNA-Ser
Source: RNAcentral